Non-coding RNA from Pteropus alecto (black flying fox), 74 nucleotides. NCBI's taxonomy places the organism in Eukaryota, Metazoa, Chordata, Mammalia, Chiroptera, Pteropodidae. The record is from Rfam.
GGCUCCAUAGUAUAGUGGUUAGUGCGUCUGCUUUACACACAGAAGAUCCUGGGUUUGUACCUCAGGUGGAGCCA